CCUACGGGAGGCUGCAGUGGGGAAUAUUGCGCAAUGGGCGAAAGUCUGACGCAGCCACGCCGCGUGCGGGAAGAAGGUUUUCGGAUUGUAAACCUCUGUUAGCAGGGAAGAAAGGUCACUGUGCUAAUCAGCAGUGAAUUGACGGUACCUGCAAAGGAAGCCCCGGCUAACUCCGUGCCAGCAGCCGCGGUAAUACGGAGGGUGCAAGCGUUGUUCGGAAUUACUGGGCGUAAAGCGAUCGCAGGCGGUAUGUUAAGUCAAGGGUGAAAGCCCCGGGCUCAACGUGGGAACUGCCUUUGAAACUGGUAAACUGGAGUGUAGGAGAGGAUAGUGGAAUUCCAGGGGUAGGGGUGAAAUGCGUAGAUAUCUGGAGGAACAUCAGUGGCGAAGGCGGCUAUCUGGCAUAUAACUGACGCUGAGGAGCGAAAGCGUGGGGAGCAAACAGGAUUAGAUACCCUGGUAGUC
Molecule: ribosomal RNA, 465 nt
Filed under: uncultured bacterium
Lineage: Bacteria
Description: partial 16S ribosomal RNA
Rfam family: Bacterial small subunit ribosomal RNA
Source: RNAcentral